ACGUCAUUUUUUGUUUACGUUCCUAUUCGUAGCAGAAGCAGAUUGCAAAAAAUUUGCCAAUUUCUAACAUUUUGUGCAUUUGUUAAAAGGUGGACAAAAAUAUAUACAAUAAUCAACCAAAACUUGAAAAUAUAUUACACGUUUCGCCCUGUGUACAAUUAUUAGCGUCAAAUUCUUUUCCAAUACGGCAAGAGAUUUUUUGCACCACACAUUUACAAUGACUGAGGCAAAAAAGAAUGCGCUUACUGCUGCUUAUCGUGCACACAAAUCCCUGCAAUUGGAGUUAACCGACUUCGAGGAUAAUACGGCAUUUGCUGCACACUUGGUCGAGCAACUGCGACGUCUCCCUACCGACAGUCGCGUAAACGCUAUGGCCGGCAUUUUAGCCAUACUGAAUCGUUUUGUACGCGUGCAAGGAGAAACUCAGUAAGCAUGCUGUAAAGAGGUUGCAACGCCUGUUUAUCAACCACACGUUGUGUACCUUAAAGGAUAUCCCAAUAGUGUGGCGGUAGCGGCGCAUGCGACUAUUGCUAAGUGGAAUGUCUUGCUAAAAGCAAUUCAUUUAGAGGUGGUUCCUAAUGUGCGAUUAUACAUUUUGUUUCGUGUUAUGUUUUCUCGAAAGAAAAACAGUUGCGUAUAUGCUGUUCUUUCCAUCCCUAUUUUCUUCGAUAAAUCUUUAUUAAAAUACAAAUGCAGUUGGUAUUCGAGGAUAAUGACAGAAGAAAAUCUGUAGUUAGCAUGAUUUAUUGAUUCAUCACAAACUUUCAUACAUAUAUUUUUGUUUUACAUACAUUAAAAUGCAUCGAAAAUAAAAUGUAAUAAGUAUUUAAUUUAGUAUAUAUGUAAAGGAUCAUUUUCAAAAAAAAAAACAUGCGUUUCAAAUAAACACUGGUUUGUGUUCUGUUUAAAAUAGCGUAA
Molecule: long non-coding RNA, 918 nt
Organism: Rhagoletis pomonella (apple maggot)
Lineage: Eukaryota; Metazoa; Arthropoda; Insecta; Diptera; Tephritidae
Exons: 2
Source: RefSeq, a predicted model, not a curated record